GCUCCUCUGUGUAGUGGUUAGCACGUCUGGUUUACACGCAGAAGGUCCUGGGUUCGCGCCCCAGGUGGAGCC
RNAcentral lists this transfer RNA (72 nucleotides) under Pteropus alecto (black flying fox). It matches the Rfam family "tRNA". From Rfam's summary of the family: Transfer RNA (tRNA) molecules are approximately 80 nucleotides in length. Their secondary structure includes four short double-helical elements and three loops (D, anti-codon, and T loops). Lineage: Eukaryota; Metazoa; Chordata; Mammalia; Chiroptera; Pteropodidae. The record is from Rfam by way of RNAcentral. RNAcentral also lists the same sequence under 1 other name.